UACGUAGGGUGCGAGCGUUGUCCGGAAUUAUUGGGCGUAAAGAGCUCGUAGGCGGUUUGUCACGUCUGCUGUGAAAUCCCGAGGCUCAACCUCGGGCCUGCAGUGGGUACGGGCAGACUGGAGUGCGGUAGGGGAGAAUGGAAUUCCUGGUGUAGCGGUGGAAUGCGCAGAUAUCUGGAGGAAUACCGGUGGCGAAGGCGGCAUCCUGGACCGACAUUGACGCUGAUGAGCGAAAGCUAGGGGAGCAAACGGG
Molecule: ribosomal RNA, 253 nt
Filed under: uncultured bacterium
Lineage: Bacteria
Description: partial 16S ribosomal RNA
Rfam family: Bacterial small subunit ribosomal RNA
Source: RNAcentral